CAGCCGCCAAGGUAAUACGGAGGGUGCAAGCGUUAAUCGGAAUUACUGGGCGUAAAGCGCACGCAGGCGGUCUGACAAGUCAGAUGUGAAAUCCCCGGGCUUAACCUGGGAACUGCAUUUGAAACUGUCAGGCUGGAGUCUUGUAGAGGGGGGUGGAAUUCCAGGUGUAGCGGUGAAAUGCGUAGAGAUCUGGAGGAAUACCGGUGGCGAAGGCGGCCCCCUGGACAAAGACUGACGCUCAGGUGCGAAAGCGUGGGGAGCAAACAGGAUUAGAUACCCCGGUAGUCCCUGUCUCUUAUAC
This 301-nucleotide ribosomal RNA is filed under the name uncultured bacterium. RNAcentral describes it as "partial 16S ribosomal RNA". It matches the Rfam family "Bacterial small subunit ribosomal RNA", at positions 509 to 807 of the family's 1533-position model. The record is from RNAcentral.